Molecule: small nuclear RNA, 164 nt
Filed under: Vicugna pacos (alpaca)
Lineage: Eukaryota; Metazoa; Chordata; Mammalia; Artiodactyla; Camelidae
Description: U1 spliceosomal RNA (ENSVPAG00000017340.1)
Rfam family: U1 spliceosomal RNA
About the family: U1 is a small nuclear RNA (snRNA) component of the spliceosome (involved in pre-mRNA splicing). Its 5' end forms complementary base pairs with the 5' splice junction, thus defining the 5' donor site of an intron.
Source: RNAcentral
AUACGUAUUUGGCAGGGGAGAUACCAUGAUCACGAAGGUAGUUUUCCCAGGGCAAGGCUCAUCCGUUGCACUCUGGAUGUGCUGACCCCUGUGAUUUCCCCAAAUGUGGGAAACUUGACUGCAUAAUUUGUGGUAGUGGGGGACUGCGUUCACACUUUCUCCUA